AUUGAACGCUGGCGGCAUGCCUUACACAUGCAAGUCGAACGGCAGCGCGGGGCAACCUGGCGGCGAGUGGCGAACGGGUGAGUAAUAUAUCGGAACGUACCCUGGAGUGGGGGAUAACGUAGCGAAAGUUACGCUAAUACCGCAUACGAUCUAAGGAUGAAAGCAGGGGACCGCAAGGCCUUGUGCUCCUGGAGCGGCCGAUAUCUGAUUAGCUAGUUGGUGGGGUAAAGGCCUACCAAGGCAUCGAUCAGUAGCUGGUCUGAGAGGACGACCAGCCACACUGGAACUGAGACACGGUCCAGACUCCUACGGGAGGCAGCAGUGGGGAAUUUUGGACAAUGGGCGCAAGCCUGAUCCAGCAAUGCCGCGUGAGUGAAGAAGGCCUUCGGGUUGUAAAGCUCUUUUGUCAGGGAAGAAACGGUGGGAGCUAAUAUCUCUUGCUAAUGACGGUACCUGAAGAAUAAGCACCGGCUAACUACGUGC
This 483-nucleotide ribosomal RNA is filed under the name uncultured bacterium. Its description in RNAcentral is "bacterial SSU rRNA". It matches the Rfam family "Bacterial small subunit ribosomal RNA", at positions 30 to 508 of the family's 1533-position model. The record is from RNAcentral.